This 467-nucleotide ribosomal RNA is filed under the name uncultured bacterium. Its description in RNAcentral is "partial 16S ribosomal RNA". It matches the Rfam family "Bacterial small subunit ribosomal RNA", at positions 28 to 506 of the family's 1533-position model. The record is from RNAcentral.
GACGAACGCUGGCGGCGUGCUUAACACAUGCAAGUCGAACGGAAAGGCCCUGCUUUUGUGGGGUGCUCGAGUGGCGAACGGGUGAGUAACACGUGAGUAACCUGCCCUUGACUUUGGGAUAACUUCAGGAAACUGGGGCUAAUACCGGAUAGGAGCUCCUGCUGCAUGGUGGGGGUUGGAAAGUUUCGGCGGUUGGGGAUGGACUCGCGGCUUAUCAGCUUGUUGGUGGGGUAGUGGCUUACCAAGGCUUUGACGGGUAGCCGGCCUGAGAGGGUGACCGGCCACAUUGGGACUGAGAUACGGCCCAGACUCCUACGGGAGGCAGCAGUGGGGAAUAUUGCACAAUGGGCGGAAGCCUGAUGCAGCAACGCCGCGUGCGGGAUGACGGCCUUCGGGUUGUAUACCGCUUUCGCCUGUGACGAAGCGUGAGUGACGGUAAUGGGUAAAGAAGCACCGGCUAACUACGU